GAAAAGGAGCUAUCGAAUAAAUAGCUCUGCUGACGGUACUCUAAGAAUAAGCACCGGCUAACUACGUGCCAGCAGCCGCGGUAAUACGUAGGGUGCGAGCGUUAAUCGGAAUUACUGGGCGUAAAGGGUGUGCAGGCGGCUGAGUAAGACAGAUGUGAAAUCCCCGGGCUUAACCUGGGAACCGCAUAUGUGACUGCUUGGCUAGAGUGCGUCAGAGGGAGGUGGAAUUCCACGUGUAGCAGUGAAAUGCGUAGAUAUGUGGAAGAACACCGAUGGCGAAGGCAGCCUCCUGGGACGCAACUGACGCUCAUACACGAAAGCGUGGGGAGCAAACAGGAUUAGAUACCCUGGUAGUCCACGCCCUAAACGAUGUCAACUAGUUGUUGGGGAUUAA
RNAcentral lists this ribosomal RNA (394 nucleotides) under uncultured bacterium. Its description in RNAcentral is "bacterial SSU rRNA". It matches the Rfam family "Bacterial small subunit ribosomal RNA", at positions 447 to 833 of the family's 1533-position model. The record is from RNAcentral.